Long non-coding RNA from Rhea pennata, 412 nucleotides. RefSeq lists it as uncharacterized. NCBI's taxonomy places the organism in Eukaryota, Metazoa, Chordata, Aves, Rheiformes, Rheidae. The record is from RefSeq and is a predicted model, not a curated record. The transcript is spliced from 3 exons.
GUUCGCAGGUGCUUGAUGAGGUUGCGCUGGAGAUUUCCCUAAAACCAUCCCGAAUCCAUCUCGGAAACGUCCGCCGGGGCCGCGGCGACGCGGGGAGACUCGGCAGCAGCCGUCCCGUCCCGUCGAGCGGUUCCCAGUUCCAGCCCCGUUCCUGCUCGCCGAUCCAAAGCGAGAGAGGGGAGCCGCGCCGGGGCCGUCCCGCCGCAACGCGUUUCGCACCCGUCGGCGAGGCCGGCGGAGCCGAUCGAUCCGCGUCUGGAAUUUCCCACGUGCUGCCAGGAUCAGCUUUCUCUUAGCGCGGCUACGGCGGCGCAGCGGAUCGCGUUAGCGGGGACGAACGCCGAGCCUCUCGGCCGGGACCGAAUUUGAGCGCGGCGACGCCACCGGCCUCGGCCCUCGAGAAGCUGCUUUC